AUUGAACGCUGGCGGCAUGCUUUACACAUGCAAGUCGAACGGUAACAGGCCGCAAGGUGCUGACGAGUGGCGAACGGGUGAGUAAUGCAUCGGAACGUGCCCAGUCGUGGGGGAUAACGCAGCGAAAGCCGUGCUAAUACCGCAUACGAUCUAUGGAUGAAAGCGGGGGACCGUAAGGCCUCGCGCGAUUGGAGCGGCCGAUGUCAGAUUAGGUAGUUGGUGGGGUAAAGGCCUACCAAGCCGACGAUCUGUAGCCGGUCUGAGAGGACGACCAGCCACACUGGGACUGAGACACGGCCCAGACUCCUACGGGAGGCAGCAGUGGGGAAUUUUGGACAAUGGGCGCAAGCCUGAUCCAGCAAUGCCGCGUGCAGGAAGAAGGCCUUCGGGUUGUAAACUGCUUUUGUACGGAACGAAACGGUCUGGGUUAAUACCCUGGGCUAAUGACGGUACCGUAAGAAUAAGCACCGGCUAACUACGUGCCAGCAGCCGCGGUAA
RNAcentral lists this ribosomal RNA (498 nucleotides) under uncultured bacterium. RNAcentral's name for it is "partial 16S ribosomal RNA". It matches the Rfam family "Bacterial small subunit ribosomal RNA", at positions 29 to 523 of the family's 1533-position model. The record is from RNAcentral.